This 498-nucleotide ribosomal RNA is filed under the name uncultured bacterium. RNAcentral's name for it is "partial 16S ribosomal RNA". It matches the Rfam family "Bacterial small subunit ribosomal RNA", at positions 28 to 523 of the family's 1533-position model. The record is from RNAcentral.
GACGAACGCUGGCGGCGUGCCUAACACAUGCAAGUCGAGCGGAGUUGACAAGAGGAAGUUUUCGGAUGGAAUCUUGCCAGCUUAGCGGCGGACGGGUGAGUAACGCGUGAGCGACCAACCUUGCACAGGGGGCUAACGGACCGAAAGGUUCACUAAUACCGCAUGAAACGACGGUGUUGCAUGACACAGGGGUCAAAGGAGGAAUCCGGUGCAAGACGGGCUCCCGUCCGAUUAGGUAGUUUGAGGGGUAACGGCCCACCAAGCCUAUGAUCCGUAGCCGACCUGAGAGGGUGAUCGGCCACAUUGGAACUGAGAUACGGUCCAAACUCCUACGGGAGGCAGCAGUGGGGAAUAUUGGGCAAUGGGGGAAACCCUGACCCAGCAACGCCGCGUGAAGGAAGAAGGUUUUCGGAUUGUAAACUUCUGUCCUUGGUGAAGAGAAGAAGACGGUAGCCAAGGAGGAAGCCCCGGCUAACUACGUGCCAGCAGCCGCCGUAA